Molecule: long non-coding RNA, 150 nt
Organism: Bufo bufo (common toad)
Lineage: Eukaryota; Metazoa; Chordata; Amphibia; Anura; Bufonidae
Exons: 3
Source: RefSeq, a predicted model, not a curated record
CUUCCACACUGGAGGGAAGGGAGACCCCGGGAUAUGGAGGGAAAACAGGCCGCCGAUAACAGGGAUGAGUUCCCUCAAGUGCUACACCCCUGCCCAGCGUUGGAAUAUACCGCAGGAGGGCAGAGGGAGAUAGAACAAAAAUACCGCUCU